GACGAACGCUGGCGGCGUGCUUAACACAUGCAAGUCGAACGGAAAGGCCCUGCUUUUGUGGGGUGCUCGAGUGGCGAACGGGUGAGUAACACGUGAGUAACCUGCCCUUGACUUUGGGAUAACUUCAGGAAACUGGGGCUAAUACCGGAUAGGAGCUCCUGCUGCAUGGUGGGGGUUGGAAAGUUUCGGCGGUUGGGGAUGGACUCGCGGCUUAUCAGCUUGUUGGUGGGGUAGUGGCUUACCAAGGCUUUGACGGGUAGCCGGCCUGAGAGGGUGACCGGCCCCAUUGGACUGGGGUAAGGCCCCAGCUCCUACCGGGAGCAAGAGGUGGGGAAUUUGCAAAAAGGGGCGGAGGCUGAAGCAAGCACCCCCGGUGCGGGAAGACCGGCUUUGGGGUUGGAACCCGUUUCGGCUUGGACCGAGGCGUGGUUGCGGUAAAUGGUAAAGAAGCACCGGCUAACUACGUG
RNAcentral lists this ribosomal RNA (467 nucleotides) under uncultured bacterium. Its description in RNAcentral is "partial 16S ribosomal RNA". It matches the Rfam family "Bacterial small subunit ribosomal RNA", at positions 28 to 507 of the family's 1533-position model. The record is from RNAcentral.